This 245-nucleotide unclassified non-coding RNA is filed under the name plant metagenome. RNAcentral describes it as "partial contains small subunit ribosomal RNA and internal transcribed spacer 1". The stretch from base 1 to 46 matches the Rfam family "Eukaryotic small subunit ribosomal RNA", at positions 1786 to 1831 of the family's 1831-position model. The record is from RNAcentral.
AAGUCGUAACAAGGUUUCCGUAGGUGAACCUGCGGAAGGAUCAUUACGCAUAGGGACUGGCAGCCGAGCCCCCACCUAGCGAAAAUUAGGUGGGGUAAGGUGCGCCAGCAACCCCACCGAGAUACGGCCGCCCGGCACCUGCCUUUUGAGCACCAUUUCGUUUCCUCGGCGGGCUUGCCCGCCACUGGGGACCCUCAAAACCUUUUGUAAUGAGAAGUAACAGUAUCAUAAAAAAUUUAUCACAA